This is a non-coding RNA of Chiloscyllium plagiosum (whitespotted bambooshark), 574 nucleotides long. The record is from RefSeq and is a predicted model, not a curated record. Lineage: Eukaryota; Metazoa; Chordata; Chondrichthyes; Orectolobiformes; Hemiscylliidae.
CAGGACAAACAGUUGAUUGAGAGUGGCCCACUCUUGGACGCACUCUCCCUCGCAUGCUGGUGUGUGCCCAUCAUGCAAACUGUGCCUCUAUUGUGGCUCCUUCUCACAUUUCAGAAGUCUUUCUUUGUGAGCGGUGCGGAGUCAGUGGUGUGACACGCUGUCUGUAUUGUACUAUGCACACCCAACAAUUCUAACAAUUCCUUAAGGUGCUGGACAUUCUACACUGCAGACGUGGACAAUCUCUGAAGCAUCCUCGUCAGGUUACUUAUCUGAUAUCCUGCAUUGGACGAGCGGAAACUUUCCCCAAUUAAUUGUUGGCCAGACUGAAACCAUCAAUGCUGUCCCUGCUCCCAACUUGACUCCCACACUGUUGACUCUGGACCUCCCCCGGCAGUGGCUCAGUUGUUAGUACUGCUCCCUCACAGCACCAAGGGCGCCCUGGUUCGAAUCCCAGCUUCAGGUGUCAAUGAGUCUGAUUGUCCCCGUCUGCUGCGUGUACAUGUCCCAUCGAGGGUGAGAUCUGCACCAUGAGCACAUCACACUGGACCCUGGCACUUAUAGUUCUAUGUCUCAU